Molecule: long non-coding RNA, 583 nt
Organism: Mauremys reevesii (Reeves's turtle)
Lineage: Eukaryota; Metazoa; Chordata; Testudines; Geoemydidae
Exons: 3
Source: RefSeq, a predicted model, not a curated record
UUCAGGACAGAGCACAGCUUAUACCACUGAGCUCCAUGGAUUGAGUGAAGGUCCGCUUAGAUUGUCAUAAUGUUGAUGCUUCCACAUGGUGGACUCCUAGUUAUAAUAUCCCAACAAUCUCUACUGCUAAGGAAUAAGAAUCUGUCUAUUGUUCAAUGACAUGGGGGCAACAAAUGGGUUCAGGAGCAACAUGUGGGACUGAAAGAGUUUCUACAUUUUGGGAGGGCAGAACGGAUGCCAUAUGGAGAAACAAGUGGAGAUUUGCCCGAUGCGCCCCACGACCAGAGCCUUUCACUGAUAUGUGUAGCUACACACCACAGUGUGGAUGCAGUCAGCUUUAUUCUGUGGCAUGACAUAUCCUGCACGCCACCGCCAGGAUUUGCCAUUGACCUGAUCAUGCACUCACUGCAGUCAAAUGAGGAUUUUGAUAUUGACUUCAACAGGAACAAGAGCAGGCUGAAUAUCAUCUCUAGAGAAUGUCUCAGACUAAACUUAAAGACAAAAUGCAAAGCAAAGAUAGGCUGUGUUUCAGGAAAGCAUUUAAACACAUGCAUAGGUCCACCCCUUUUUCAGUAGAACACUU